Molecule: ribosomal RNA, 590 nt
Filed under: fungal sp. CNEF2
Lineage: Eukaryota; Fungi
Description: eukaryotic LSU rRNA
Rfam family: 5.8S ribosomal RNA (bases 186-339)
Source: RNAcentral
GUACCUGCGGAGGGAUCAUUACCGAGUUUACAAACUCCCAAACCCUUUGUGAACCUUACCUAUCGUUGCUUCGGCGGGACCGCCCCGGCGCCUUCGGGCCCGGAACCAGGCGCCCGCCGGAGGCCCCAAACUCUUAUGUCUUUAGUGGUUUUCUCCUCUGAGUGACACAUAAACAAAUAAAUAAAAACUUUCAACAACGGAUCUCUUGGUUCUGGCAUCGAUGAAGAACGCAGCGAAAUGCGAUAAGUAAUGUGAAUUGCAGAAUUCAGUGAAUCAUCGAAUCUUUGAACGCACAUUGCGCCCGCCAGUAUUCUGGCGGGCAUGCCUGUUCGAGCGUCAUUUCAACCCUCAGGCCCCCAGUGCCUGGCGUUGGGGAUCGGCGUGGGCGGCGACGGCUCUCCGGAGCCCGAGCCAAUGCCUGCCGGCCCCGAAAUUCAGUGGCGGUCUCGCUGUAGUCCCCCUCUGCGUAGUAGCACAACUCGCAUUGGAGCUCGGCGGUGGCCAUGCCGUAAAACACCCCACUUCUGAAAGUUGACCUCGGAUCAGGUAGGAAUACCCGCUGAACUUAAGCAUAUCAAUAGGCGGAGGAA